This is a long non-coding RNA of Equus quagga, 3102 nucleotides long. RefSeq lists it as uncharacterized. The record is from RefSeq and is a predicted model, not a curated record. Lineage: Eukaryota; Metazoa; Chordata; Mammalia; Perissodactyla; Equidae. The transcript has 8 exons.
UUUAACUCCUCUUUCAGUCUGUCUGAUUACAUCAAGAGCAGAGGGAGCCUUGCAUGACAGGAGAGGGCUGAGAAUCUGCUGCCUCUGGAUGGAGUGAGAACUGCUCAAGCAGUUCCCAUCUCUGCAUGUGACUUGUCAAGGGAACUUUUCUCUGAUGCUCACACGAUGCGGGAACUUGUCACAUCUUCCAUCUCUGGGAACAUCCUCACCUGAAAUUGAAAGGUGGAAGAGGCUUGAGCAUGCUACAGGAAGAAAGAAGAAGGGGAGAGGCUGAAGGAUUUCAUUCAUGCAUGCACUCAGCCACCCAUCCAGCUCUCACUGAUCCCUGGGCAACUGUGUGAAGAUGGAGAAGGAGCUGCAGCCAACUGUAGCCACCACCCUGCCCGGCCGGCUCUGACCUGGAACUCCAGCCUGGCUCUCUCAGGUCAUCAAGGCACAGAGGACUGGCCAGCCUGAUUCAGAUGUCCUACUCUUUUGCAAUUCUUCUUGGGGAUGUCCUGAUCUCAAGGCAGCAGUGGCUACAAAAUAGACGUUUAUAUUCAACUCUCCCUAAGCACAGAGAUAUGGCCCAGCAAGCCUUAGCAGAGGAGAAGACAGGGUGAAGGUUAAUGGCCAAGGCAGGGGUCGGGGAAGGCAAAGCGAGACCUGACUUUGUGGCCUUAACAGGACAGAAUUCAGCCUCCAGGUACUUUCCUGGCAGCAGGGCACUUCUCAACCUGCCUUCUCAAAGGCUGGGAACUUAGCUGGAAUCUUGGCUGGAACCCCUCAGCAUUGCUAGGAAGUGCCUUUUAACCUUUACCCUAGCCAAACAGCCCUUGCUGAUUUUCACCACAUCAAACCUCUUUAAAUGCAAACCUUUUCUAUCUUUCCCUUUUGUUUGGUCUGUAUCUUUAACAAUCUGGUUAAAAUAUCCUUCAAGUUCUGGCGAUGACACCUCUGAAGACGCCUGGCUAAUCUCACUUGAACCUGAAGACAAUGGUACAAGGUCAUGAGAGCCCAGGGAUGAAGUUAAUAUGGUGAUGGCGUCUUGCUCCUGGAGGACCCAGCUUAAUGAGGGUAGAACAAAGGCAGUGAAGGGUGUAAGGAUAUUACACAGCUGUGUUCCGUGAGCUCUUAUGAAGGCUGUGGAAGGGAUCCAGGCAGGAUGGCCUCAAAUUAAGAUUUUAAUGACUCUUCCAUUUAGAAAACACACUCUUGCUGUUAAUGCUGUCUUGUCAGAGUGAACACAUUAUAGAGAAGAGAUUUUUGGCAUGCCUUUCCCACUAAUGCUUAGCAAAUGCAUCGGAACUUUGCCAGCAAACUGCGUUCAUUCAUAGCAGGUGAUGUAAAAAGGUUUCCCUGAAUGUCGAACGAGUGUUCUCUGAACUGAAAUCUGAUGUUUUCGUCCAAAACCGAAAAGAGGAAAAAAACAGAAAAAAAAUUUAAAGGAGGAGUCUAUGAUGCAGCCUUGGUUUUCGUUAUCUGUCUACCACUAUGACUACUACGACCAAGUUUGCCUCUUCAGUGUGAGAACAACAGUUCUGUCUACAUGCACUUAGUGGGUUCAGCAUGGGAAAAAACGCACAAAAUAAGCACAAGUUAUAAAUAACCAUAACGUUUUAUUACCAUUAAGACUAAACUUGUAUUGAAAAGAUUUUAUAUAACAAGACAAGAAAAGCAAUAGCAAAUUUAACUAUCAACUAGAUUAUGCAUAGCGAGUAACUGUUUCUAUUACCCAGGGAAGAGCAGGAAUCCUUGUAUUUUUUUGUUUUGUUUUUGUUUAAAUAUAUAACCGUACAAAGCACAAACAUACUAAAAUGCUCAGUGCACUGGACGUGGGAGAAUGCUCCCUCAGUCAUUUUGUUCCCUUAGCUCUGUUUUGUUUCCCCAAUCUGAAUUACAUUAAAAUAAAGACCCAGUUGUUUUUAUUUUUCUACUGUGCAGUAAGAAAAAAUAUUCACAACAAACAUGACAAUAUAUCAAACAAUAGUUCUACACAAGUUACCUUGAUACCUCUUGAACUGUCACUUAAAUAUCAUAAGAAAACAUUUUAAGACAUAUACAAACGAAACUAGCCAAGUGUUACAACUUAUAAUAAAUUAACCCAAAGAAAAAAAUAACUUUAUAUAUAUAUAUUUAUAUUGUAUAUACACAUACACACACAACAGAAUGACACAAUAAUAUGCUUCUUCCCAUAGUUUAAGUAAACAAAUAAGUAGUCUAGCCAAUCUAGCUAUAUUUGAUCUCGGCCAUAGGCAUCAUCACGUCGAUUAAAUAAAUAAGUGUUUCAAGCAACAUAAACAGUGUUUCAAAUGUACCAACACAGCCCAAUUCUAUCAGCAUGGGCUACAAAGUGAAUUUGAAAAUUCCUUAAUGAAUUUAAAGCAAACGUAUCUUUUGUUUUCCUCUCCUAAACACAUUACAUUUAACUAUGAUACUAAGAUAUGUAAAUAAUUUCGUAGCACCUACUGCUCAAACUAAGGAAGUUUUAGAUCAAAAGGAAAAUUAAUCUUUUUAAUUUUUGUUCUGCUGACAUCCCAUACUGAUGACUUAAAGAAAAACUGUCUUUCAACUCAUCUCCUUGCUUUUGGGUUUUGACUGUGGGGAACUGUGGUACCCUGGGUAGAACGAACACUCCUUUCCCCUAGUAAUUAAUAAUUUUUUAAUUAUUAUUACAUGCUAUGAAAAGAUAUGAAGAUCAUCUGUUUAUAGCCCAUCCUUCAAAAAACAGUCUACGAAUCCAGUUUAAAACACACAUCUUGAUCUCUAAAAAGUUACCAGUGCAGUAUGAACGCGACAAAGUUGUCAAUUUCCCCUAAAUUAGCCAGUCAAAAUAUUUUUUUCUCAAAUCCAGAUUCUCUUGUAAAAAUUCUUUAUAUUUUAUAAAAAUAGAUUUUUCUUGAAACCCAUUUUCAGCAAAGAGACCACCUCUUUGGCAACAAUGUUAAUGUUAUUAAAUUGUUAAUGUCAUCAGGUAUCCCCCUUGCCCCCAUCCCCUAACAGAAGACUGUUUUAGUUCACAUGAUAUAAAAGAAAAAAGGAAAAAUAAAAAAAUUUGCAAAAGUUUUUUUUCAUUUUUGCAAUUUUUAUUAUUCCUCUUUAAUCUGUGUGGGGUUUUUUUUU